Molecule: ribosomal RNA, 132 nt
Filed under: Strychnos hirsuta
Lineage: Eukaryota; Viridiplantae; Streptophyta; Magnoliopsida; Gentianales; Loganiaceae
Description: partial 5.8S ribosomal RNA
Rfam family: 5.8S ribosomal RNA
About the family: 5.8S ribosomal RNA (5.8S rRNA) is a component of the large subunit of the eukaryotic ribosome.
Source: RNAcentral
UGCAUCGAUGAAGAACGUAGCAAACUSCGAUACUUGGUGUGAAUUGCAGAAUCCCGUGADUCCAUCGAGUCUUUGAACGCAAGUUGCGCCCGAAGCCAUUAGGCCGAGGGCACGUCUGCCUGGGCGUCACGC